Molecule: ribosomal RNA, 494 nt
Filed under: uncultured bacterium
Lineage: Bacteria
Description: partial 16S ribosomal RNA
Rfam family: Bacterial small subunit ribosomal RNA
Source: RNAcentral
GACGAACGCUGGCGGCGUGCUUAACACAUGCAAGUCGAGCGAUGAACCUUUCAUGAAUUUUUCGGAAUGAUUGGAAGAGGAUUAGCGGCGGACGGGUGAGUAACGCGUGAGCAACCUGCCUUAAACAACGGGAUAGCCUCGGGAAACCGGGAUUAAUACCGUAUGAGACCCCGCCUUCACAUGAAGAAGAGGUUAAAGAUUUAUCGGUAUAAGAUGGGCUCGCGUCUGAUUAGCUAGUUGGUGAGAUAAAAGCCCACCAAGGCAACGAUCAGUAACCGGCUUGAGAGAGUGAACGGUCACAUUGGAACUGAGACACGGUCCAAACUCCUACGGGAGGCAGCAGUGGGGAAUAUUGCACAAUGGGGGAAACCCUGAUGCAGCGACGCCGCGUGAGCGAUGAAGGAAUUCGUUUCGUAAAGCUCUGUCCAAGGGGAAGAUAAUGACAGUACCCUUGGAGGAAGCCCCGGCUAAAUACGUGCCAGCCGCCGCUGUAA